RNAcentral lists this ribosomal RNA (424 nucleotides) under uncultured bacterium. RNAcentral describes it as "partial 16S ribosomal RNA". It matches the Rfam family "Bacterial small subunit ribosomal RNA", at positions 354 to 796 of the family's 1533-position model. The record is from RNAcentral.
GUGGGGAAUCUUGCGCAAUGGGCGAAAGCCUGACGCAGCCAUGCCGCGUGGAUGAUGAAGGUCUUAGGAUUGUAAAAUCCUUUCACCGGUGAAGAUAAUGACUGUAGCCGGAGAAGAAGCCCCGGCUAACUUCGUGCCAGCAGCCGCGGUAAUACGAAGGGGGCUAGCGUUGCUCGGAUUUACUGGGCGUAAAGGGCGCGUAGGCGGACAUUUAAGUCAGGGGUGAAAUCCCGGGGCUCAACCUCGGAACUGCCUUUGAUACUGGGUGUCUUGAGUAUGAGAGAGGUGUGUGGAACUCCGAGUGUAGAGGUGAAAUUCGUAGAUAUUCGGAGGAACACCAGUGGCGAAGGCGGCUCACUGGCUCGAUACUGACGCUGAGGUGCGAAAGCGUGGGGAGCAAACAGGAUUAGAAACCCUGUAGUCC